Long non-coding RNA from Bombus terrestris (buff-tailed bumblebee), 1773 nucleotides. RefSeq lists it as uncharacterized. NCBI's taxonomy places the organism in Eukaryota, Metazoa, Arthropoda, Insecta, Hymenoptera, Apidae. The transcript is spliced from 4 exons. The record is from RefSeq and is a predicted model, not a curated record.
UUGAAUAUUUGAAUUGAAAUCGAAGUAUCUGUACUUUUAAAUUACCUCAAUCUCUCCAUUUAAAUGAGAAAUGAUUUAAAUGAUUGAAAUAUUUCAGCAGUGGUUAUAACAUUGGGUUGUGAAUAUCUCAAUAUAAAUCUGAACACGUAACACGAUUUCGUAUAACUGAAGAUAAAUGUCGAUUUGAAUUUGAGAAUUCUUAAAGGGAUAUUUUUAUGAAAGAAGUUUUACCCUUUACCAUGCAACGUACGAGUGGUAAAUUUUCAGUGGAAAUUCCAGAUGUAAACUUCGCAAAUAGAAACGAUACGUUUUCAGUUCUUAGAAGAUGUUUAUACUUCGUAAAAAUUAUUGAAGAGCAUUUGAAACGCAGGUGAUCGAUUCUCCAAGUUCAAGAUUAUCUAUUUGAUGGCGCCAGAUACCUAUUCGACCGACACCUCGCAUCCAGCCGAUCAACGUUGAAAAAUCAAGUCCACGUUGAACGAUUAGCUUCAAAUUGAUCGAUAACAGACUAUACGUUUAAUCGAUAAGCCAACAAAAAUUUCGCCACCGCUAAGCAUCGAAGCCUCGAAGAAGCGCAAAAAUUGGCAAUUUCAGAGGCCAAAUAUUAGCAAAAUGGUAAAAGACGAUCGGAAACUGUAGAAAAUGGUAAAAAGCGAGAAAAUUGGGAGGAGAAGACAACGCGAACGAUCAGGUGGCUUCUAACUUUGUUUCGGAAUUCGAGUGAAAAAUUUCACGUAGUUGUCCGGUAUUCAAAAUUGGAAGAGAUUAGAAAAUAAUAUAAAUCAGCUGACUGUCCGCUAUAAAUAUCGGUGGCGUAUGAAAUCGAGGAGAGACACGGAGCAGGCGAGUCUGGUGAAAUUCGGAACAGAUCCGUCCGUCUUGACAAGUGGAAAUCCAGCUGCUUUCCAUUUCUAACGAUCACCGAUCGGAGACCAAUGGUUACGAGGCUCUGUCAACCACGAAAACCGAUUUCUAUUUUCUUCUCCGGCCACUUCCACCCGUCGAUCGAAACUUACGACACUUUCGACCAUCGACGAUUUCUAACAAGACGGGGAAGAAGAAGAGAAGAACCGUGGAACGUUCGUUCCAGUUGCAGCGUAGAAGAUCGAUAAGGUUUCUUCUUCUUUUAAUCGUCGCGCUUCGAUGAAUGACAAUAUUUUUUCGAUCACGUUCGCCUUGUUGAUUCAGCAGAGUUCAGAGAAACGUACGCCAUGGUUAGAAACGAUGACAACGCUCCUACGUCGAUUAUGUCGAACAGGACUUCUGCAAAGUUUCUUCGACCAAAGAUUCCAUUAUUCUCGACGAUUCUCCGAAACGAUUGGUCUCUUCGAUGGAAAUCGAUCGUUUCGUAAUUUUCGUUUAUUCGAAUUCCAGCAGUUUGUCGAUCUGUUCGGAUCGCUGUAAUUUUAGACCGAACUCGCGAGGGAAAAAUCUAUGUAAACGCGUUUGAUAAUAAAAAUUGAUUGAUAAUAAAUUUACAAUUUUCAAAAAUUGUAUAACAUGCUACGAAGAGAACGAAGUCAAGCGCGAAAUUAGACUGAAGCAAUCGAACGUAAGGUUCGAAGUUACGCGUUGUUUGUAGAGAGAUCAGCGCGAAGACAUUUUUCACGAGAUCGUUCGUGAGAUUUCCUACAAUUUUCGAUCGAGAAUGAUGUUUGGUUAUCGACAUUUGUUUCUCUUAAGUUAUCGGAGAUUUCGAUCGUUCGACGCGGAAACGAUCGAGAGAACGAAAAUUGAAAAUGAUCGAAGAAAAAUGUUGACGGGUGACGAAAC